This 253-nucleotide ribosomal RNA is filed under the name uncultured soil bacterium. Its description in RNAcentral is "partial 16S ribosomal RNA". It matches the Rfam family "Bacterial small subunit ribosomal RNA", at positions 26 to 305 of the family's 1533-position model. The record is from RNAcentral.
AGAGCGAACGCUGGCGGCAGGCCUAACACAUGCAAGUCGAACGGACCCUUCGGGGUUAGUGGCGGACGGGUGAGUAACACGUGGGAACGUGCCUUUUGGUUCGGAAUAGCUCCUGGAAACGGGUGGUAAUGCCCGAAUGUGCCCUUCGGGGGAAAGAUUUAUCGCCAUUAGAGCGGCCCGCGUCUGAUUAGCUUAGUUGGUGAGGUAAAGGCUCACCAAGGCUACGAUCAGUAGCUGGUCUGAGAGGAUGACC